UUUUUCCACCGGAGCUUGCUCCACCGGAAAAAGAAGAGUGGCGAACGGGUGAGUAACACGUGGGUAACCUGCCCAUCAGAAGGGGAUAACACUUGGAAACAGGUGCUAAUACCGUAUAACAAUCAAAACCGCAUGGUUUUGAUUUGAAAGGCGCUUUCGGGUGUCGCUGACGGAUGGACCCGCGGUGCAUUAGCUAGUUGGUGAGGUUACGGCUCACCAAGGCCACGAUGCAUAGCCGACCUGAGAGGGUGAUCGGCCACAUUGGGACUGAGACACGGCCCAAACUCCUACGGGAGGCAGCAGUAGGGAAUCUUCGGCAAUGGACGAAAGUCUGACCGAGCAACGCCGCGUGAGUGAAGAAGGUUUUCGGAUCGUAAAACUCUGUUGUUAGAGAAGAACAAGGAUGAGAGUAACUGUUCAUCCCUUGACGGUAUCUAACCAGAAAGCCACGGCUAACUACGUGCCAGCAGCCGCGGUAAUACGUAGGUGGCAAGCGUUGUCCGGAUUUAUUGGGCGUAAAGCGAGCGCAGGCGGUUUCUUAAGUCUGAUGUGAAAGCCCCCGGCUCAACCGGGGAGGGUCAUUGGAAACUGGGAGACUUGAGUGCAGAAGAGGAGAGUGGAAUUCCAUGUGUAGCGGUGAAAUGCGUAGAUAUAUGGAGGAACACCAGUGGCGAAG
This 676-nucleotide ribosomal RNA is filed under the name uncultured Bacilli bacterium. Its description in RNAcentral is "bacterial SSU rRNA". It matches the Rfam family "Bacterial small subunit ribosomal RNA", at positions 72 to 720 of the family's 1533-position model. The record is from RNAcentral. Lineage: Bacteria; Bacillati; Bacillota; Bacilli.